AUGUCCUCUCCCAAGCAGCCCAGGAGAACAGGGAAUGGGGGCUGUGGUCAGUCUAUAGCACUCCAUCUCUGCCGUUCCUUCACGGUCACUCUCUGCCCCUGCUCCACGUGGGGUCCCUCCCAUGGGCAGCAGCUCUUCAAGAACUGCUCCCACACGGCUCCGUACCACGGGGUCCAUCCCCCAGGAGCAAACUGCUCCAGCACGGGUCCCCCACAGGCGGCAGCUCCCCCCAGACCCCCUGCUCCUGCGUGGGCUCCUCUCCACGGGCUGCAGCUCCGGCCCGGGGCCUGCUCCUGCGGGGGCUCUCCAUGGGCCGCAGCCUCCUCCAGGCCACAUCCACCUGCUCCACCGGGGGCUCCUCCACGGGCUGCAGCGUGGAGAUCUGCUCCGUGUGGGACCCAUGGGCUGCAGGGGGACAGCCUGCUCCGCCAGGGGCCUCUCCGCAGGCCGCAGGGGAACUGCUGCUGCCUGCCUGGAGCACCUCCUGCCCUCCUGCUGCACUCACCUUGGGGGCUGCAGGGCUGUUCCUCACUCCUCUCUCUCCCAGCUGCUGUUCCAGCAUUUUAUUUUUUUUUUCUUCCUUUCUUAAAUAUGCCCUCAGAAAGGCACAGACAACAUCACUUAUUGGCUCGGCUCUGGCCAGCAGCAGGGCCCUUAUCUAACAUGGAGCAGCUUCUGGAUUCUUCUCAGAGAAGCCAUCUUUAUUGCUCUCCGCUACCAAAACUUUGCCACGUAAACUCACUACAACUCCAUGGAAAUAGUAAAACUGAUGUGAAACUAAAAUACAGUCACAUGAUCACAGCACAAGUAGCAGGCUGGGAAGCUAACCAGGUAUUGUCAAUGCAGCAUCGCCUUGCAGCUGGGAACAGACUUGAUGAGCUGAUUCCUGGUGACACAGCUUUUAAAAUACAGAGUAAAAUCUGUAAGAACGCAAGUGGAAUGGGAGCUAUUAAGCAACGUACUGACCCUUCUUGUAUUCCUCCCUGUAAAAUGUUAGUCAUAGUCUUUGAGUACAAAAGAUUUGUAUGCACACACUAG
Long non-coding RNA from Anser brachyrhynchus (Pink-footed goose), 1038 nucleotides. The record is from Ensembl. Lineage: Eukaryota; Metazoa; Chordata; Aves; Anseriformes; Anatidae.